AUUGAACGCUGGCGGCAGGCCUAACACAUGCAAGUCGAGCGGGGACUUCGGUCCUAGCGGCGAACGGGUGAGUAAUGUUUGGGAAUCUGCCCAGUAGUGGGGGAUAACGUCCCGAAAGGGACGCUAAUACCGCAUACGUCCUACGGGAGAAAGAGGGGGAUCUUCGGACCUCUCGCUAUUGGAUGAGCCCAAGUCGGAUUAGCUAGUUGGUAGGGUAAUGGCCUACCAAGGCGACGAUCCGUAGCUGGUCUGAGAGGAUGAUCAGCCACACUGGAACUGAGACACGGUCCAGACUCCUACUGGAGGCAGCAGUGGGGAAUAUUGGACAAUGGGCGAAAGCCUGAUCCAGCCAUGCCGCGUGUGUGAAGAAGGCCUUCGGGUUGUAAAGCACUUUAAGCGGGGAGGAAGGUUCGCGGCCUAAUACGUCGCGGAAUUGACGUUACCCGCAGAAUAAGCACCGGCUAACUCUGUG
RNAcentral lists this ribosomal RNA (472 nucleotides) under uncultured bacterium. RNAcentral describes it as "partial 16S ribosomal RNA". It matches the Rfam family "Bacterial small subunit ribosomal RNA", at positions 30 to 507 of the family's 1533-position model. The record is from RNAcentral.